Long non-coding RNA from Perca fluviatilis (European perch), 1357 nucleotides. RefSeq lists it as uncharacterized. Lineage: Eukaryota; Metazoa; Chordata; Actinopteri; Perciformes; Percidae. The record is from RefSeq and is a predicted model, not a curated record. The transcript has 4 exons.
CAAGGAGAGGCAAGUUACCAAAAUGAUUUACUAAAAAAGAGAAACUUUCAGGACUUUCAUUUUAAAAUGUAGCCCAAAACAGCAACAUGAAGAGCUCCUUUAAAUUUCAGACGGGGUUGGGACGCCAGUUGGUAGGCUAGCCGUUCAUGAAACCAGCAGCUAUCUGCUGAAAGAGCCAAGUAUGCAGCAGGAAAUCACUCAGUUAGCUAAACAACGUCGCCAUUUUUUUCUGACUUUACAGCGCAGUGCUGUGGAGGAAGGUCUGGCAAAGCAACACUAUUAAGAUUAGUAUCCGCAUUAGCAUUGCUGGCAGAGUUGGACCUGUAUGAUGCUGACCUGAAGCAAGGCUGGAUUACGAACCCGACAAAGAGACCCCUAAAACACCAGCUCUACCCAAAAGAGAAACGGAUUAACUGGCCGAUCAACACUGCUAUCAAAGAACCACAUGCACUUGAACCACAGGAAACCUCAGAAACAACGUUCAGAGGCACCAGACCUUCUCAGUCCAUAUACAGAGGCAACAAACUUUACCUAACACCAGUCAACAGACGUCAGCUGCGGGCAGAAAGUGUUUACUUUCCACUCUCAGUCACCUCACACAGCUGACUGAUAAAAAAAGAAAAGACAAAAAGUUGACCAGUUUGUCUGAGCCCAGGUCACGACUGGAAUGUUGAUAAGAAAAGAUGGUUACAGCGAGCAGCAUAUCUGCAUGUUGACAGAGUGUAACACCAGUGGGAACACGGUGGUUGUGUCCUGUAUCAAGUCAGAUUGUGUUUGGCUGAUACAUCUUGUUUGUUCUGUGCUCCGAGUGCUUGAUUCUGGGGCUUUAACCCACACAUACUGUAUCUCUGUCCCUCUCUUUCUCCUCUUGUCUCCUUGCUUACUGCUUCUGCUGAUCUGACGUUUUACAUGUUUGCGCAAUAAUGUGUGCGUGUUUACAUUCCAUCACUCUCAGUCAUACUAGUGGGAAUAUGACUGAGCGGAAAACUGUUGAUAUUCGUGGUUUUGAGUGUUUAGCCGCUCCCUGUUGGUACACAGUAGCAGUAUUUGUAUCACUCGGGUCAGGUUGGUUCUGUAUAACAUUGCUGAUUCUCAUAGCCAGAGCCAGGCUAAAAAUGAACACACCAAUGGCAUUAUACAGUGCUUAGAGCAAAAAAACAAGACCAUCAACCAAUAUGCUAUUAUUAUUUUCUUCAAGCCAACACAGUGUUUUCAAACUAACAAAAUUACCUGUCAAUUAAAGGAUAAGGCUGGCUGGAUGUUUUUUGUAUCUGUCCCUAUUUAAAUAAACUACAAAUAAAUAAAUUCUAUAUUUUUCUUAUUGUCAACAAAUUCCAUUAAAAAAGACCAUAACCAA